CUCUUGCAUCAGGGAGUUGGACAGCACAGGGAUGAAAGAGUGGAGAUGCUGGUUAACUCUUGCAUCAGGGAGUUGGACAGCACAGGGAUGAAAGAGUGGAGAUGCUGGUUAACUCUUGCAUCAGGGAGUUGGACAGCACAGGGAUGAAAGAGUGGAGAUGCUGGUUAACUCUUGCAUCAGGGAGUUGGACAGCACAGGGAUGAAAGAGUGGAGAUGCUGGUUAACUCUUGCAUCAGGGAGUUGGACAGCACAGGGAUGAAAGAGUGGAGAUGCUGGUUAACUCUUGCAUCAGGGAGUUGGACAGCACAGGGAUGAAAGAGUGAAGAUGCUGGUUAACUCUUGCAUCAGGGAGUUGGACAGCACAGGGAUGAAAGAGUGGAGAUGCUGGUUAACUC
Long non-coding RNA from Eriocheir sinensis (Chinese mitten crab), 395 nucleotides. RefSeq lists it as uncharacterized. Lineage: Eukaryota; Metazoa; Arthropoda; Malacostraca; Decapoda; Varunidae. The record is from RefSeq and is a predicted model, not a curated record. The transcript has 2 exons.